UCAUGUUGUGUGAUUUUUCUUUCUCUUUUUCUCGUGCAACACGUAUACUCUGGGGGUUAAUUUCACUCUUUUGACUCUUUUUCUACUCAAAUUUUUCGAGCAUUUUAUAGGUGUUAGAGUCUUAAGUCUCGGCAAAUGCAUUUUUCUCUUUUGUUUUUCUUUUCUCUUUUUUUUUUCUUUUUUUUUUCUUUUAAAGAACAUACAUACUAUUUUUCUUUUUGUCUGCUCUCUUAUUAUGCACUUGCCUUCUCUUUCAAGAUUUCCACCCCAAACUUAGUUUUAUUGCACAUCUUGCAAUUCACACAAUCAUACCGAGUUAUGGAAAAAAA
RNAcentral lists this long non-coding RNA (329 nucleotides) under Lathyrus oleraceus (garden pea). RNAcentral's name for it is "Pisum sativum (pea) long non-coding RNA (PSAT_LNC025599)". Lineage: Eukaryota; Viridiplantae; Streptophyta; Magnoliopsida; Fabales; Fabaceae. The record is from RNAcentral.